UACGGGGGGGGCAAGCGUUGUUCGGAAUUACUGGGCGUAAAGGGCUCAUAGGCGGCCAACUAAGUCAGACGUGAAAUCCCUCGGCUUAACCGGGGAACUGCGUCUGAUACUGGAUGGCUUGAGUUUGGGAGAGGGAUGCGGAAUUCCAGGUGUAGCGGUGAAAUGCGUAGAUAUCUGGAGGAACACCGGUGGCGAAGGCGGCAUCCUGGACCAACACUGACGCUGAGGAGCGAAAGCCAGGGGAGCAAACGGG
This 253-nucleotide ribosomal RNA is filed under the name uncultured bacterium. Its description in RNAcentral is "partial 16S ribosomal RNA". It matches the Rfam family "Bacterial small subunit ribosomal RNA", at positions 524 to 776 of the family's 1533-position model. The record is from RNAcentral.